This 292-nucleotide ribosomal RNA is filed under the name uncultured bacterium. Its description in RNAcentral is "partial 16S ribosomal RNA". It matches the Rfam family "Bacterial small subunit ribosomal RNA", at positions 505 to 796 of the family's 1533-position model. The record is from RNAcentral.
GUGCCAGCAGCCGCGGUAAUACGUAGGGGGCGAGCGUUAAUCGGAAUUACUGGGCGUAAAGCGUGCGCAGGCGGUUGUGUAAGACAGAUGUGAAAUCCCCGGGCUCAACCUGGGAACUGCGUUUGUGACUGCACAGCUGGAGUGCGGCAGAGGGGGAUGGAAUUCCGCGUGUAGCAGUGAAAUGCGUAGAUAUGCGGAGGAAUACCGAUGGCGAAGGCAGCCCCCUGGGCCAAUACUGACGCUCAUGCACGAGAGCGUGGGGAGCGAACAGGAUUAGAAACCCUUGUAGUCC